This 253-nucleotide ribosomal RNA is filed under the name uncultured bacterium. Its description in RNAcentral is "partial 16S ribosomal RNA". It matches the Rfam family "Bacterial small subunit ribosomal RNA", at positions 524 to 776 of the family's 1533-position model. The record is from RNAcentral.
UACGUAGGGGGCUAGCGUUGUCCGGAUUUAUUGGGCGUAAAGCGCGCGUAGGCGGUUACUUAAGUCGGAUGUGAAAGCCCUCGGCCUAACUGAGGAAGUGCACCCGAAACUGAGUAGCUAGAGUACGAAAGAGGAUCGCGGAAUUCCCGGUGUAGAGGUGAAAUUCGUAGAUAUCGGGAGGAACACCGGUGGCGAAGGCGGCGAUCUGGGUAGAUACUGACGCUGAGGUGCGAAAGCGUGGGGAGCAAACAGG